Molecule: long non-coding RNA, 430 nt
Organism: Anneissia japonica
Lineage: Eukaryota; Metazoa; Echinodermata; Crinoidea; Comatulida; Comatulidae
Exons: 2
Source: RefSeq, a predicted model, not a curated record
CGCUACUUUUGCCCGAAACUUUAAAUGUUCCACUACCUCAGACUAUAGAAGAGGCGGAGAUGAUUCCGAGGAGAACUACUAAGCGAAGCAGUGGAAGUUUUCACGAUAUUGGAUUGCAACCUGUCAAGUCUUAAAUUUUCUUUGCAAAGAUUGUUACAAUAAUAUUGCUAUUGGUUGAAAUUAUUAAACAACAAUUAACAAUAUUUAAUAAUCAAGAGUUCUACAAUAUUAUUUUAAUCAGUAAUGUUUAUAUUUGUGACAAUUAUUUGCCUUUUUUAAAAAUACAAUGCGCCUUUGUUGUUUGAUUUUACUUGCUAUUUAGUUACUUGUAAAAGUAUUUAAUUAGAGGUAACUGAGGCAAUACUCUGAGACUACGUAUCAGGCCAUAGUAAGAUAAAAACCACAUUUAUUUGCCAAUAAAAUAUUUAUG